RNAcentral lists this ribosomal RNA (247 nucleotides) under uncultured bacterium. RNAcentral's name for it is "partial 16S ribosomal RNA". It matches the Rfam family "Bacterial small subunit ribosomal RNA", at positions 523 to 769 of the family's 1533-position model. The record is from RNAcentral.
AUACAGAGGGUGCAAGCGUUAAUCGGAUUGACUGGGCGUAAAGCGCGUGUAGGCGGCUUAAUAAGUGAAUUGUGAAAGUCCUGGGCUUAACCUAGGGAUUGCGGUUCAUACUGUUAGGCUAGAGUCUAGGAGAGGAAAGUAGAAUUUCCGGUGUAGCGGUGAAAUGCGUAGAUAUCGGAAAGAAUACCAGUGGCGAAGGCGACUUUCUGGCUUAAGACUGACGCUGAGACGCGAAGGCGUGGGUAGC